CGCGGCGCGCUGAUUGGCUGGCGCAGAUUCCAGCGGCUUUCCCGGGGCGGGGGCCAAGGCGGAGUAAAGGGGUGCCGCGGGCAGCAGCCGCCCCCGCCCCCCGUCCACCUGGACGCUAGUGCCAGUGCCCGGCACGCGGGCGCCUUGGCCGGGGGCUUCUCCUGCGCUCCGCUCGGCUUCUGAUGGUGCCUUCAUCCAGGGUCCAGCAUGACGAUCCGACACCAAGGCCAACAGUACAGGCCGAGGAUGGCAUUUCUGCAGAAGGUUUGCAAGCUGCCCGCUGGUCUUGAAGAGUCAGCCGUGCUUGGGCGGAAAGUCAGAGGGUGAAGAGCUUCCCAUGAGCCCAGGCCGGACUGUUCCGAGGGUGUUCUACGCCCUUUCCCCCAGCGGUUCCCACCAACUCCGGUGAUCCACAGGCUGGUCUGCACGUGAAUGCCCGCUGUGUUGCCUUCCUUCCCCUGGCUCCCUUCCCCAGCUACCUACCGCUGCUUCCUGAGAUCAGCCCUCUCACCAACCCUAUGAGAUCCCAUUAUUUCCCCCAAUUUUACAGAGGCGGCCUGAUUUCCCCCAGAAGAAGCUACUGAGGAAUUUGGAGCAGGUGAGUGAUGGGGUCAGAUUCAAGCUCAAAAUCAAGGUCAAAAGACCAGCCUGAUGUGAAGGAGAGGAAAGAUGGCAUGUCUUCUUUUCCCGGAGCUUACAGAGUUCACCCAAGUCCUCCUGUGUUCACCACAACUCUAGCUGCCUAGAAAGUGACAGGCUUAUCCAGGACGGGGAGAAAGGUUACUGGUCAGAGGUUGUUUCUUUCUCCUCGGACUGCCGUGUCCCCAUCUCAGGCCCAGUGCACCUAUCGGGUAGACAGGCCCGCCAGCCCCUGCUGCUGCCCACUUCUGAUUUCUGUUGCAGGAUGUGGGGACUGGCACCCCAGCAGGGAGGGCUAAUGGGCUUGCUUAAGAUGUGGCAGAAAGAGGGGUGCCUGGGUGGCUCAGUUAGUUAAGCUGCUGACUCUUGGUUUCAGCUCAGGUCAUGAUCUCAG
This is a long non-coding RNA of Mustela erminea (ermine), 1033 nucleotides long. RefSeq lists it as uncharacterized. NCBI's taxonomy places the organism in Eukaryota, Metazoa, Chordata, Mammalia, Carnivora, Mustelidae. The transcript has 3 exons. The record is from RefSeq and is a predicted model, not a curated record.